This 760-nucleotide ribosomal RNA is filed under the name uncultured Neonectria. Its description in RNAcentral is "eukaryotic LSU rRNA". It matches the Rfam family "Eukaryotic large subunit ribosomal RNA", at positions 50 to 809 of the family's 3401-position model. The record is from RNAcentral. Lineage: Eukaryota; Fungi; Ascomycota; Sordariomycetes; Hypocreales; Nectriaceae.
GCGCAGGAAAAGAAACCAACAGGGAUUGCCCUAGUAACGGCGAGUGAAGCGGCAACAGCUCAAAUUUGAAAUCUGGCCCCCGGGUCCGAGUUGUAAUUUGUAGAGGAUGCUUUUGGUGCGGUACCUUCCGAGUUCCCUGGAACGGGACGCCAUAGAGGGUGAGAGCCCCGUCUGGUUGGACGCCAAUCCUUUGUAAAGCUCCUUCAACGAGUCGAGUAGUUUGGGAAUGCUGCUCUAAAUGGGAGGUAUAUGUCUUCUAAAGCUAAAUAUUGGCCAGAGACCGAUAGCGCACAAGUAGAGUGAUCGAAAGAUGAAAAGCACUUUGAAAAGAGAGUUAAAAAGUACGUGAAAUUGUUGAAAGGGAAGCGCUCAUGACCAGACUUGGGCUUGGUUGAUCAUCCAGGGUUCUCCCUGGUGCACUCUUCCAGCCCAGGCCAGCAUCAGUUCGCUGUGGGGGAUAAAGGCUUCGGGAAUGUGGCUCCCUCGGGAGUGUUAUAGCCCGUUGUGUAAUACCCUGUGGUGGACUGAGGUUCGCGCAUUCACAAGGAUGCUGGCGUACUGGUCAUCAGCGACCCGUCUUAGAACACGGACCAAGGAGUCGUCUUCAUAUGCAAGUGUGCGGGUGGGGGACAUAUCCGCGUUGUGAAAGGGAGCGCAUGCGAGAGCUUCUGCGCGGCAUCUCCCGGUCGUGAUCUUCUCGCGCGCAUAAGCUAUAAGACGACCCGCCGGGCAACGAAACAUAAGAUUUGAGAACAGGGGG